GAUGAUGUAGGGUAUGAAGUUCGGUGGGCAACUUUCUGUGAAAUAUGUAGUUAUGGGGGC
This 60-nucleotide transfer RNA is filed under the name Uromastyx ornata philbyi. RNAcentral's name for it is "tRNA-Gln". The record is from RNAcentral. Lineage: Eukaryota; Metazoa; Chordata; Lepidosauria; Squamata; Agamidae.